RNAcentral lists this ribosomal RNA (524 nucleotides) under uncultured bacterium. RNAcentral describes it as "partial 16S ribosomal RNA". It matches the Rfam family "Bacterial small subunit ribosomal RNA", at positions 28 to 523 of the family's 1533-position model. The record is from RNAcentral.
GACGAACGCUGGCGGCGUGCCUAAUACAUGCAAGUCGAGCGCAGGAAACUGACGGAACUCUUCGGAGGGAAGGCAGCGGAAUGAGCGGCGGACGGAUGAGUAACACGUAAGGAACCUGCCUCAAGGAUUGGGAUAACUCCGAGAAAUCGGAGCUAAUACCGGAUAGUUCAACGGACCGCAUGGUCCGCUGAUGAAAGGCGCUUCGGCGUCACCUUGAGAUGGCCUUGCGGUGCAUUAGCUAGUUGGUGGGGUAACGGCCCACCAAGGCGACGAUGCAUAGCCGACCUGAGAGGGUGAUCGGCCACACUGGGACUGAGACACGGCCCAGACUCCUACGGGAGGCAGCAGUAGGGAAUCUUCCACAAUGGACGAAAGUCUGAUGGAGCAACGCCGCGUGAGUGAUGAAGGUUUUCGGAUCGUAAAACUCUGUUGUAAGGGAAGAACACGUACGAGAGGAAAUGCUCGUACCUUGACGGUACCUUACGAGAAAGCCACGGCUAACUACGUGCCAGCCACCGCGGUAA